RNAcentral lists this ribosomal RNA (454 nucleotides) under uncultured Myroides sp. RNAcentral describes it as "partial 16S ribosomal RNA". It matches the Rfam family "Bacterial small subunit ribosomal RNA", at positions 341 to 792 of the family's 1533-position model. The record is from RNAcentral. Lineage: Bacteria; Pseudomonadati; Bacteroidota; Flavobacteriia; Flavobacteriales; Flavobacteriaceae.
ACGGGAGGCAGCAGUGAGGAAUAUUGGUCAAUGGAGGCAACUCUGAACCAGCCAUGCCGCGUGCAGGAUGACGGUCCUAUGGAUUGUAAACUGCUUUUGUACAGGAAGAAACCUCUCUACGUGUAGAGACUUGACGGUACUGUAAGAAUAAGGAUCGGCUAACUCCGUGCCAGCAGCCGCGGUAAUACGGAGGAUCCGAGCGUUAUCCGGAAUUAUUGGGUUUAAAGGGUUCGUAGGCGGUUUGAUAAGUCAGUGGUGAAAUUUCUUAGCUUAACUAAGACACGGCCAUUGAUACUGUUAGACUUGAAUAGUAUGGAAGUAACUAGAAUAUGUAGUGUAGCGGUGAAAUGCUUAGAUAUUACAUGGAAUACCAAUUGCGAAGGCAGGUUACUACGUACUGAUUGACGCUGAUGAACGAAAGCGUGGGGAGCGAACAGGAUUAGAUACCCUGGUA